UGUUAAAAAUUACAUUCAUUUGUACUAUUAAAAACUUAUGUGGUUAAUGAAAUAACCAGAUAGUCAUAUAUGACAUGUCAUGUGUAUCUCAUACUAACGUAUAAUAUAAUUUUUAAUAAUAAAAAUAGAUGAAAUUUUUAACA
Gossypium hirsutum (cotton) is the source of this 143-nucleotide non-coding RNA. Lineage: Eukaryota; Viridiplantae; Streptophyta; Magnoliopsida; Malvales; Malvaceae. The record is from Rfam.